UACAGAGGGUGCGAGCGUUGUUCGGAAUUAUUGGGCGUAAAGGGCGCGUAGGCGGUGCGGUAAGUCACCUGUGAAAUCUCCUGGCUCAACUGGGAGCUUGCAGGCGAAACUGCCGUGCUGGAGUGUGGGAGAGGUGCGUGGAAUUCCUGGUGUAGCGGUGAAAUGCGUAGAUAUUCGGAGGAACACCAGAGGCGAAAGCGGCGCACUUGACGGUAACUGACACUCAACUGCGAAAGCGUGGGGAGCAAACAGG
Molecule: ribosomal RNA, 253 nt
Filed under: uncultured bacterium
Lineage: Bacteria
Description: partial 16S ribosomal RNA
Rfam family: Bacterial small subunit ribosomal RNA
Source: RNAcentral